GUCAAAAUGAUUCCCGACAACGGAUAUCUCGGCUCUUGCAUCGAUGAAGAACGUAGCGAAAUGCGAUACUUGGUGUGAAUUGUAGGAUCCCAUGAACCAUCGAGUCUUUGAAUGCUAGUUGCGCCCUCUAAGCCUUCGGACCGAGGGCACUCCUACCUGGGUGCCAUGCAUCGCGUCAC
Molecule: ribosomal RNA, 179 nt
Filed under: Phaulopsis imbricata
Lineage: Eukaryota; Viridiplantae; Streptophyta; Magnoliopsida; Lamiales; Acanthaceae
Description: 5.8S ribosomal RNA
Rfam family: 5.8S ribosomal RNA (bases 9-166)
About the family: 5.8S ribosomal RNA (5.8S rRNA) is a component of the large subunit of the eukaryotic ribosome.
Source: RNAcentral